ACCAGUAUAAUCCUUCUGCCACAAAGCCUUUCUCAAAUUAGAAAAUGAAUGAGAAUAACUUUUCCAAAAAGAGGAGCGAUUCCAACAAUUACAAACGCAUGCAUCAGCAUCUGUCAUCAGAUCCAGACUAAUUUACUCAAAAGUUAUUCGAUAUAAACAAGAAUAGGCAUCUCGAUUGAUAGCUGCAACGUGGAUGUCACGACUGGUUUCAAAACCAGUAUAAAUAUGGAUUAAAGGUUCUAGGAUAUGGCAGGAUCAACGAAAAUGAGGGCUCACUCUUUCUUUUUCAUCCUUCUCUCUGUUUCAAUGGUGGUGGUGCUGCCAUCUUCGGUCGCCCUCGCCCCAUCCUCUAUGCUCGGCUCACUGGCUCAGGAUCAAGUUGUCCCAAAAAAUAUUUCAUCGGAUGGUCCCUUUGCAACAGGAGAUUGCAAUUACAGGUGCAAAUGCUGCUACUGCUGGCGAUAUGGCCGGAAGACUCCAAAGUGCUUGAUUUGCUGCGCCAACUGAGCCGACGCUGUUAAGACUGUGGCGGUGCAAAGAGAGAGAAAAGUGGGAGCCGAUUGCAGAACAUGCAUGUCAUACAGAAGUAAGAGAACGCCGAUGCAAAUAAAGACGGUAGUUACCAAAUAAUCUUCAGGCUGCGAAUAUCCUGGGAAGAAUUUACCCAUGGAGGUAAAAAGUAAAAAAUCUAAUCCACUGCUUUUGCACA
This is a long non-coding RNA of Nymphaea colorata (pocket water lily), 709 nucleotides long. RefSeq lists it as uncharacterized. Lineage: Eukaryota; Viridiplantae; Streptophyta; Magnoliopsida; Nymphaeales; Nymphaeaceae. The record is from RefSeq and is a predicted model, not a curated record. The transcript is spliced from 2 exons.